Molecule: ribosomal RNA, 805 nt
Filed under: bacterium
Lineage: Bacteria
Description: bacterial SSU rRNA
Rfam family: Bacterial small subunit ribosomal RNA
Source: RNAcentral
CAGGUGUAGCGGUGAAAUGCGUAGAGAUCUGGAGGAAUACCGGUGGCGAAGGCGGCCCCCUGGACAAAGACUGACGCUCAGGUGCGAAAGCGUGGGGAGCAAACAGGAUUUAGAUACCCUGGUAGUCCACGCCGUAAACGAUGUCGACUUGGAGGUUGUGCCCUUGAGGCGUGGCUUCCGGAGCUAACGCGUUAAGUCGACCGCCUGGGGAGUACGGCCGCAAGGUUAAAACUCAAAUGAAUUGACGGGGGCCCGCACAAGCGGUGGAGCAUGUGGUUUAAUUCGAUGCAACGCGAAGAACCUUACCUACUCUUGACAUCCAGAGAACUUAGCAGAGAUGCUUUGGUGCCUUCGGGAACUCUGAGACAGGUGCUGCAUGGCUGUCGUCAGCUCGUGUUGUGAAAUGUUGGGUUAAGUCCCGCAACGAGCGCAACCCUUAUCCUUUGUUGCCAGCGGUCCGGCCGGGAACUCAAAGGAGACUGCCAGUGAUAAACUGGAGGAAGGUGGGGAUGACGUCAAGUCAUCAUGGCCCUUACGAGUAGGGCUACACACGUGCUACAAUGGCGCAUACAAAGAGAAGCGACCUCGCGAGAGCAAGCGGACCUCAUAAAGUGCGUCGUAGUCCGGAUUGGAGUCUGCAACUCGACUCCAUGAAGUCGGAAUCGCUAGUAAUCGUAGAUCAGAAUGCUACGGUGAAUACGUUCCCGGGCCUUGUACACACCGCCCGUCACACCAUGGGAGUGGGUUGCAAAAGAAGUAGGUAGCUUAACCUUCGGGAGGGCGCUUACCACUUGGAUUAAGAGGG